GAUGAACGCUGGCGGCGUGCCUAAUACAUGCAAGUCGAGCGAACGGACGAGAAGCUUGCUCUUCUGAUGCUAGCGGCGGACGGGUGAGUAACACGUGGAUAACCUACCUAUAAGACUGGGAUAACUUCGGGAAACCGGAGCUAAUACCGGAUAAUAUUUCGAACCGCAUGGUUCAAAAGUGAAAGACGGUCUUGCUGUCACUUAUAGAUGGAUCCGCGCUGCAUUAGCUAGUUGGUAAGGUAACGGCUUACCAAGGCAACGAUGCAUAGCCGACCUGAGAGGGUGAUCGGCCACACUGGAACUGAGACACGGUCCAAACUCCUACGGGAGGCAGCAGUAGGGAAUCUUCCGCAAUGGGCGAAAGCCUGACGGAGCAACGCCGCGUGAGUGAUGAAGGUCUUCGGAUCGUAAAACUCUGUUAUUAGGGAAGAACAUGUGUGUGAGUAACUGUUAACAUCUUGACGGUACCUAAUCAGAAAGCCACGGCUAACUACGUG
RNAcentral lists this ribosomal RNA (497 nucleotides) under uncultured bacterium. Its description in RNAcentral is "partial 16S ribosomal RNA". It matches the Rfam family "Bacterial small subunit ribosomal RNA", at positions 28 to 507 of the family's 1533-position model. The record is from RNAcentral.